AUACUUACCUGGCAGGGGAGAUACCAUGAUCACUAAGGUGGUUCUCCCAGGGCGAGGCUCAUCCAUUGCACUCCGGGUGUGCUGACCCCUGCGAUUUCCCCAAAUGCGGGAAAUUCGACUGCAUAAUUUGUGUUUUUUUUUUCUUCUCUAGGGCGGAGUGGU
RNAcentral lists this small nuclear RNA (162 nucleotides) under Erpetoichthys calabaricus (reedfish). RNAcentral's name for it is "U1 spliceosomal RNA (ENSECRG00000017786.1)". It matches the Rfam family "U1 spliceosomal RNA". Rfam says of the family: U1 is a small nuclear RNA (snRNA) component of the spliceosome (involved in pre-mRNA splicing). Its 5' end forms complementary base pairs with the 5' splice junction, thus defining the 5' donor site of an intron. There are significant differences in sequence and secondary structure between metazoan and yeast U1 snRNAs, the latter being much longer (568 nucleotides as compared to 164 nucleotides in human). Lineage: Eukaryota; Metazoa; Chordata; Cladistia; Polypteriformes; Polypteridae. The record is from RNAcentral.